RNAcentral lists this ribosomal RNA (253 nucleotides) under uncultured bacterium. RNAcentral describes it as "partial 16S ribosomal RNA". It matches the Rfam family "Bacterial small subunit ribosomal RNA", at positions 524 to 776 of the family's 1533-position model. The record is from RNAcentral.
UACGUAGGGGGCAAGCGUUGUCCGGAUUUAUUGGGCGUAAAGAGCGUGUAGGCGGCCGCACAGGUCCGUUGUGAAAACUGGAGGCUUAACCUUCAGACGUCGAUGGAAACCGUGCGGCUAGAGUCCGGAAGAGGAGAAUGGAAUUCCUGGUGUAGCGGUGAAAUGCGCAGAUAUCAGGAAGAACACCGGUGGCGAAGGCGGGUCUCUGGGUAGUAACUGACGCUGAGGAACGAAAGCGUGGGUAGCGAACAGG